Molecule: long non-coding RNA, 318 nt
Filed under: Numida meleagris (helmeted guineafowl)
Lineage: Eukaryota; Metazoa; Chordata; Aves; Galliformes; Numididae
Description: lncRNA (ENSNMEG00000010519.1)
Source: RNAcentral
UCAGUGAAUUAUUCAGGGACCAAAUAGCCUGAAGUCAAGACUGGUUGUCUGUGAAAAGGUUUCCUGUAGCUCCAGAAAGCAACCAGGUCCCAGCUCUUCCAGCAUCAGACAUCAGGAGAAGCCUCUUUCUGCCAGUCACUUGAAUGCCCUGGUGCAGGACACAGUCAAGGGAUAUGGUGAACAGAUCUGUCACUUGGUUCAGUGCUCUGGCACUGGUGCCAGCAGGCUGGAGGAAAUUUAACAAGAUAUUGAAAACUUUCCUGUAGGAUAAACUGCUGACAGUUCAGAAGAAUUGGGUGAGUACUUGUCAAACUGAGC